CCUACGGGAGGCAGCAGUGGGGGAUAUUGCACAAUGGGGGGAACCCUGAUGCAGCGACGCCGCGUGGGUGAAGAAGCGCCUCGGCGCGUAAAGCCCUGUCAGCAGGGAAGAAAAUGACGGUAGCUGAAGAAGAAGCCCCGGCUAACUACGUGCCAGCCGCCGCGGUCAUACGUAGGGGGCAAGCGUUAUCCGGAUGUACUGGGUGUAACGGGGGCGCAGACGGCGAUGCAAGCCAGGAGUGAAAGCCCGGGGCCCACCCCCGGGCCUGGUGGUGGAACUGCGUGGCUGGAGUGCAGGAGGGGCAGGGGGAAUUCCUGGUGUAGCGGUGAAAUGCGUAGAUAUCAGGAGGAACACCGGUGGCGAAGGCGGCCUGCUGGACUGCAACUGACGUUGAGGCCCGAAAGCGUGGGGAGCAAACAGGAUUAGAUACCCUAGUAGUC
RNAcentral lists this ribosomal RNA (440 nucleotides) under uncultured bacterium. Its description in RNAcentral is "partial 16S ribosomal RNA". It matches the Rfam family "Bacterial small subunit ribosomal RNA", at positions 338 to 795 of the family's 1533-position model. The record is from RNAcentral.